This is a non-coding RNA of Equus caballus (horse), 45 nucleotides long. Lineage: Eukaryota; Metazoa; Chordata; Mammalia; Perissodactyla; Equidae. The record is from Rfam.
CCACAGGAUUUUCUUAAAUCCACCUUGGUCUAUUUUUAGGAAAUA